This 416-nucleotide ribosomal RNA is filed under the name uncultured Arcobacter sp. Its description in RNAcentral is "bacterial SSU rRNA". It matches the Rfam family "Bacterial small subunit ribosomal RNA", at positions 349 to 782 of the family's 1533-position model. Lineage: Bacteria; Pseudomonadati; Campylobacterota; Epsilonproteobacteria; Campylobacterales; Arcobacteraceae. The record is from RNAcentral.
CAGCAGUGGGGAAUAUUGCACAAUGGACGAAAGUCUGAUGCAGCAACGCCGCGUGGAGGAUGACACAUUUCGGUGCGUAAACUCCUUUUAUAUAGGAAGAUAAUGACGGUACUAUAUGAAUAAGCACCGGCUAACUCCGUGCCAGCAGCCGCGGUAAUACGGAGGGUGCAAGCGUUACUCGGAAUCACUGGGCGUAAAGAGCGUGUAGGCGGGUAUAUAAGUCAGAAGUGAAAUCCAAUAGCUCAACUAUUGAACUGCUUUUGAAACUGUAUACCUAGAAUGUGGGAGAGGUAGAUGGAAUUUCUGGUGUAGGGGUAAAAUCCGUAGAGAUCAGAAGGAAUACCGAUUGCGAAGGCGAUCUACUGGAACAUUAUUGACGCUGAGACGCGAAAGCGUGGGGAGCAAACAGGAUUAGA